CCCCGGGAGGGGAGUGAAAGAGAACCUGAAACCCUGUGUCUACAAGCUGCGGAAGAGCGACUAACGCUCGACCGUGUACUUUUUGUAGAACGGUCCGGCGAGUUGCCGUUGCUGGCAGGUUAAGUACUUAAGGUACGGAGCCGAAGGGAAACCAAGUCUUAACAGGGCGGUAAGUCAGUAACGGCAGACCCGAAACCGGGUGACCUACCCAUGGCCAGGAUGAAGUCUGCGUAAAAGUGGAUGGAGGUCCGAACACACGUCUGUUGAAAAAGGCGGUGAUGAGCUGUGGGUAGCGGAGAAAUUCCAAUCGAACUCGGAGAUAGCUGGUUCUCCCCGAAAUAGCUUUAGGGCUAGCCUCGGUAUAGUCUAAUGGAGGUAGAGCACUGAAUCGCUGCGGGGGCGUCAAAGUCUACCAAUGCGUAUCAAACUCCGAAUGCCAUAUAGAUGUUUACCGGGAGUCAGACUGUAUGAGAUAAGUCGGACAGUCAAAAGGGAAACAGCCCAGACCAUCUGCUAAGGUCCCAAAGUGUAUGUUAAGUGGUAAAGGAUGUGGGGUUUCGAAGACAACUAGGAUGUUGGCUCAGAAGCAGCCAUUCAUUCAAAGAGUGCGUAAUAGCUCACUAGUCGAGAGGUCCUGCGCCGAAAAUGUCCGGGGCUGAAACAUAACACCGAAGCAAUGGAAUAUACCGUAAGGUAUGUUGGUAGGGGAGCAUUGAUAACACGAAGAAGCGGUACCGUAAGGAGCCGUGGAGGGUUAUCAAGAGAGAAUGCCGGAAUGAGUAGCGAGAUGAAGGUGAGAAUCCUUCAGGCCGUAUAUCCAAGGUUUCCAGGGUAAAGCUGAUCUUCCCUGGGGAAGUCGGGACCUAAGCUCAGGCUGAGAAGCGUAGGCGAUGGACAACUGGUUGAUAUUCCAGUACCUCUGGCUAUCAGAAAUGUGGGGACACGGAGAUUCAGGGAGUGCCUGUAAAGGAUUCAGGUGCAAGCAUGGUUUAUGCCGGGCAGGCAAAUCCGCCCGGGUAAGUGGACUGUGUGAUGCGGACCGAAAUAUAAGUAGGGAAGCUCCUGGGAGAGCCGUCGAGAAAAGCCGCUAUUGUGCAGCCAGAGCCCGUACCGUAAACCGACACAGGUGGAUGGGGAGAGUAUCCCAAGGCCGGCGGGAGAAGCAUUGUUAAGGAACUCGGCAAAAUGGCCCCGUAAGUUCGCGAUAAGGGGUGCCUGUAGAGAUACAGGCCGCAGAGAAUAGGCUCAAGCAACUGUUUAGCAAAAACACAGGUCUAUGCGAAACCGUAAGGUGAUGUAUAUGGGCUGACGCCUGCCCGGUGCUGGAAGGUUACGGGGAGUGCUUAGGAGUAAUCCGAAGGUACGAACUUAAGCCCCAGUAAACGGCGGCCGUAACUAUAACGGUCCUAAGGUAGCGAAAUUCCUUGUCGGGUAAGUUCCGACCCGCACGAAAGGCGUAAUGAUUUG
This 1467-nucleotide ribosomal RNA is filed under the name human metagenome. Its description in RNAcentral is "bacterial LSU rRNA". It matches the Rfam family "Bacterial large subunit ribosomal RNA", at positions 524 to 2011 of the family's 2925-position model. The record is from RNAcentral.